This 642-nucleotide ribosomal RNA is filed under the name uncultured Actinomycetes bacterium. RNAcentral's name for it is "bacterial SSU rRNA". It matches the Rfam family "Bacterial small subunit ribosomal RNA", at positions 232 to 885 of the family's 1533-position model. The record is from RNAcentral. Lineage: Bacteria; Bacillati; Actinomycetota; Actinomycetes.
CGCGGCCUAUCAGCUUGUUGGGGGGGUGACGGCCCACCAAGGCGACGACGGGUAGCCGGCCUGAGAGGGCGACCGGCCACACUGGGACUGAGACACGGCCCAGACUCCUACGGGAGGCAGCAGUGGGGAAUAUUGCGCAAUGGGGGAAACCCUGACGCAGCGACGCCGCGUGCGGGAUGAAGGCCUUCGGGUUGUAAACCGCUUUCACCAGGGACGAAGCUAACGUGACGGUACCUGGGGAAGAAGCGCCGGCUAACUACGUGCCAGCAGCCGCGGUAAUACGUAGGGCGCGAGCGUUGUCCGGAAUUAUUGGGCGUAAAGAGCUCGUAGGCGGCCGGUUGCGUCUGCUGUGAAAUCCCGGGGCUUAACCCCGGGCGUGCAGUGGAUACGGGCCGGCUGGAGGCAGGCAGGGGAGAAUGGAAUUCCCGGUGUAGCGGUGAAAUGCGCAGAUAUCGGGAGGAACACCGGUGGCGAAGGCGGUUCUCUGGGCCUGUACUGACGCUGAGGAGCGAAAGCGUGGGGAGCGAACAGGAUUAGAUACCCUGGUAGUCCACGCCGUAAACGUUGGGCGCUAGGUGUGGGUCCCUUCCACGGGGUCUGUGCCGCAGCUAACGCAUUAAGCGCCCCGCCUGGGGAGUACGG